AGAUGUUCUCUGGGAUGCAGACAUUUCCCUGAACAAGUCCAUCACAGAGAGCAGGAGAGUCUGGCCUCUUCAGAUGUGAGCCAUCAUUAAGUUCAAAUUCACUCCACCAUCCAUGCAAACUGUGAGAGCUGCUCCAUGGUGCCCAAAUCAGCACAUUCAGCUAGAAUCUCUUGUCACUGGAGAAGCUGUCUGAUUCUCUGAACAUGACGCAAGCCUUGCUGUCACCACCACCGUGAAGGUCAGAUACAGCACCCAAGGCCAUCCCACCACACUCGUCCCACCUGGCUUGUGUCAAUGUUCC
RNAcentral lists this long non-coding RNA (301 nucleotides) under Homo sapiens (human). RNAcentral's name for it is "non-protein coding lnc-GOLGA8K-4:1". Lineage: Eukaryota; Metazoa; Chordata; Mammalia; Primates; Hominidae. The record is from RNAcentral.